Aethalodelphis obliquidens (Pacific white-sided dolphin) is the source of this 4318-nucleotide long non-coding RNA. RefSeq lists it as uncharacterized. Lineage: Eukaryota; Metazoa; Chordata; Mammalia; Artiodactyla; Delphinidae. The record is from RefSeq and is a predicted model, not a curated record. The transcript is spliced from 6 exons.
AGCUCUCGGUAAGGGAAGUGUGGAGGACUGGCUGAAUUGGGAAGUGCUCGGGACGUGACUGAUUCUCCUGUCUCAGCUCUACCAGUUAUUAGCUGUGUGUUCACACCAACUGGAGUAAAUAAAGCCCAUCAUGAAUUGCUCAGCUCUUCCCCGGUGUAGUUGAUUCUCCUUGAAGAUGAGUUAUUAUUUCUCUACAAAGAACUUCACAACUUUGGGAUCUUUAUAAAUCUGAAGGCCAACAGAAGAUAUUCGGGAGUCAUCCACUUGGGGAAGCCUAACUAAUAGCCUUGCAGAACAAAAAGCUGUGGUUCUCUGUGAACACUGAAGAGCAUUGCUUUUCACACAAGAUGAAGAAUACAGGUGCUUCCUGAGAGAAGUGAACAACUUUUGUGAAGCUGUGUUUUGCAGAAGGACUUGACAUCAAAAAGAACAUCUAGAGAACAGCAACCCAGAGGGAUGUAUGCAAGUGUUACACCAGCAUUCCUUAGAAGAGAAGAGUAAAACAAAGAGGGAUUCUGGGCUGGUGGCCACAGAGUAAUUCUGGAAAACUUGUGGAGGUCCAUGCUGAGCUUUCAGAUGGACAACUCUGGAAACUGAUACCAUCCCAUGGGUGUCAUGAAAGAACAAGUUCCAGGCUUUGUUGCUGAGGCUUAGAAACAGGGCUAACUGAGACAAACUGUGCCGGGAACUUUGGCCAUAUACUACUUGUCCACUAAACUCCGAACAAAGAACGCACAUUUACUUCACUGUUCAUGUCUAUUGAAGGUAACUCUGAAACUGCCCUUGCCAGGAACUGUGACUCACAGAUAAAAGAUCCUGUGGGUAGUGAGCUCCGCCCAGAGCCAUCCCACACAAAGACAGCAUAUGCUUUUGUAACACCCACAUACUUAUAUUUUAUGCUACAGAUGGCACUUUAAGGUUCACUUAUAAAGCAUCAUUGUCAAGCUCAGAGGUCAAAUGCACUGAAUAAAGUAUCAAUUUAAUGGGAACUAGGGUUUGAAAUACUUUCCUACUUUAGUAAAUUCUCUGAGCCCUGUAAGAGCCUAUAACAGGUCCAACGGAAUGACCUCUUUAAACCACCAAAAACUCAUUUACACACUCCUUGUAACAGAUCCUUUAGUUCUACUUCUUUGAGCAAUUGCUUUCUUUGUACUAAGCUUCAGAGCAUAUACUCUAUCAAAGCAAUUUAAAAGGUCUAACAUUUUUGAAGAAAACCAAAUGCAGAAAUCUCUCUGCUGACCUCCUGAAAAGACAGAAGGCUUAUCAAUGAGAUGUGAAUGUUCUGCUUCCUUUAGGAGAUUAAGGAACAGAGCUGUUUAUCCUGAUUUUAUCCAGGCACCCAGAUUCCAUCUACAGAUUUCUCGAUGACAGAGGAGAAUGGUUUCAUAAAAACAGCAAGAUGAUUGUCAAUCUUCACUUCACUUCUCCUCCCUACUCUCUCAUUACGUGUUUGAACUUGCCCUUCUUUUUCAUAUCGUUGGCAUUUCGUACUUCCUGGGUGAAGCGUAUAGGUUGAUGAGUGCUCAGCAAGUAAGGGCCUUCUUUUGCACAUACAGGCCCUCUUCUAUAAAAGUCUAUCCCAUAACUUGCUGCCCGAACCCUGUACCACAACCUAUGCUCAAUGUCCAAUAAGGCUAGUCUGAAGAUACUCCGAAACAGUUCAUGACCCUUUGCCAGGGUUAUAUUCUUUUCUCUCCAGUUGUUCUAGUUCAUUUUUAAUUUCAUUCAGCUCCUGAAUUUUUUCCUGCUUGCUCCUGUCUCCAGGACUUCAUUUUUAGUUUUGCUUUCCCUGUGUUUGUUGCUACAUGAUCAUUAUUUUUGUCUCAGCUUUAAAUUUCUGGGAAUAUUUUUUCAAAGUAACUCUGUGGAAAAACUUAUUCCUGCUUCAGCCCUUUGGGAUCAACGUCUUGGUCAUGGUUCCUUUGGCCAGUAAAUUAACUGUAUCUUCCCAGUGUGUUGAGGAGAGAGAUUUAGCAAUCAUUUUGUGUAGAAGCAUGUUCCCCUGUGUUCUGCAUAUAUUCUGGGUGCCCACCCUCCCAAUCUUUUCACACCUUCUCUUAUCAGACAACUUUAAAGGCUGCAUUGACACAGACAUCAUGAGAGUGUUACUGGAUCCCAGCCUUUAUCUCUGGGCUAGGGAAUCAGAGCAAAGGUUGCUUCUUACCUUGAUACCUAAUGCAUUAGUGUAGAGGAUGUUGUUGGCCACUGAUAGCUCAGCAUUGAUUUCCUCUCUGGAAGUUUCCCUCUGACUGAAGGAAGUUGCCUUACCCAGAUUAUGCUUCUGCCACAGGGGCAUCCAGAAUCCUAUGACUGGUUGAUUCAGGGAUACAUGACCCAGCGUCCUUGCCCAGAAUUGGAACAAUAUUAAAGGUCCAUCCCAGCUUCAAGUCAUCCCUGAGUCUCUACUGUUACUGCAUUACAUUCCAGCUUCUCCCUCAACCCAAUCCUGUUUCCUUUGCUCCCUCAUAGGUAUUUUUCCCUCUGAUGAACAGUCUCUGAUAAAACCUGCACAUAAAUCUCUUUACUGGAGUUCGUUCCUAAGACAGUGGUGAUCUUUUCUUGCAAUUAAAUGUUAAUUUGGGCUCCAAGGCCAUGUUUCUCAACACAACCAUUUCAACAGGUCAUGGCAUCUUCUGUAAAUUCAUGGUAGUGUCAUAACAAUGGAUUCAGUAUCGUGGUGAACAUGAAUGACAUAUGUUGAUAAGCAGACAUGACUGGAAAACAGCUGCGUUUACAUGCUUUAAAUAAUAUUGAGACUAAAACAGAAUGUAUAAAUAGCUGCAUAGUGCCGUGAAUGUUGAAGUUACGCAAUACAAAUCAUUGCAUUGAGAAUGGGUCUCAAUAGACAACCUAUUAAAACAUAAGGAUCCUCAGUUUUCCAUAAAAACUCAUGAAGAAGAAACUUCUUAACAAUUUGAUAGGUUAAGUGCAAGAAGCAAGGCACAAGUCAGCCCUCUUACCACAAAGUAUAGUGAGUAAUUUUUUUUUUUUUUUACAGUAUAGAACCUGCUUAAAAACUAUGAGGAAGUUGAGUUGGUAUAUAGAUAAAUUAUCUCUAAUUUAUUUUUAAACUUUACACCGUAUUUGGAGAAUAUGUGUGUGCAUUUGGGGUAAGGGUAGGGACUCAGGUAUAGAAAAAUUUCAAGAUAAUAGUUUAGUGCUCUCUUAGUUUUAUAAAUUUUAAAAUAGAAUGUAAAUAUUGCAUAACCCUACCCCAUACACAAAGUUAAAGCUCCCUUCUAAUUACGCCUAUGGAUGGCUUGUCUCUUUAGGUUUCUCUAUCUGUAAAAUGGAGAUAACAAUAUUUACCUUCCUCAUUAGGAAAUGAUGAAUUUCCUAAUGUGCAUAAUAUGCUUUGAAGAUGAAAAGCUUCAUAUAAUUGUUAAGUGUUAUUAUUGUGCAUAAAUUUAUUAGGUAUCACAGGUGCACAAUUCUGAAGAAUACAUUAAAGGUAAAAUUCAUAAUGAAUAGUCUUUGAGGUUGUAAACCUGAAUUAAAUAUAAAGGGAAAAACAACCUUCUAAACAUUAAACACAGAUGGUAAUGAUUUUGUUCAGAUUUUCCUUGUAUAUAGAUUGGUUAUAUUUUACAAUUAGACAAAGAGCUAAAUAGGCAUCAGUUAAGUUUUAAAAAUCAUGUGAAGCUUGGCUUUCAAAGCUUUGUCCAUUCUUGGUAAAAUUCUCAAUUAUAAAAGUUUAAUAAAAGAAUGCUUCUUUUUAUUUAUUUUGUGACUUUGGGGAUUGAUUGCUACAGCCUUAGGGUUUCACUCCAACACAUCAACUAUAAAAUUUUGGCCAAAAGGCAUAUGGUCAUAAUAUUCUUGAUCCUUAAAUACUCUCCUCAUUGCCCAAAAAAGUAUAUUUUCAUUCAGUAUACUUCUUCUGCUUCAGGAAAAAUAAAUCCCAUUACUGUGGUAAAGGCCUUGUUGAAAUUCUCUUGGGUUCAUAAUCAAAGUAACUCUUGUGUGUUUCCUGACUUUGUGCUAUAGUAAUGUAUUUCAAGGACAGCUGAGAGAUGCAUUUUUGCUUAACUUGUGACAGGUGGCAUUUUAUUCCCAGGCAGCUAUCUGCUUGGAAUAUUGUCUACUUCUUGGCCAUGAGCACAAAUCCAGAGGGACCUGGGCUCAGUCUGAACAGCAGUGUCAGGCACAUUCCUGGCUUAUUCCACAAUGUCUGUGCUGGAGCUGGGGCUCGCCUCUCAUCCAUCCAGAGAGAGUCAAGUGGUCUUGAGUGAAGAAAGAUUUAUGUUUUUUUAGAAUGAAAUAAUGCCAUUUGCAGGAACAGGGAUGGACCUAGAGAUUAUCGUACUAAGUGAAGUAA